Molecule: long non-coding RNA, 2087 nt
Organism: Solanum pennellii
Lineage: Eukaryota; Viridiplantae; Streptophyta; Magnoliopsida; Solanales; Solanaceae
Exons: 5
Source: RefSeq, a predicted model, not a curated record
GUGACAGUUUUUUGCUUUUAUUUUGGGUUUCUCAUGACAACUUCAAACAUGGUCUUGGCGACCUCCCUUCUUCUCUUCCAUUCCGUCGUUUUUCCUCGAACACUUCGGUAUCUCUCACGCUACACAAACAAAACUCAUCUUCUCUACCUCCGCCGCCACCGUCUUCUUAUCUUCUCCGACUGUCAGCAACUCCAUCCGAAGCCCUAGUGCAGAAAAUAGGAAAAUCUGUUUGCCAUCCCCGCGAGCCUUCAAAUGCCCAGGAAACUGAAAAGAUUGCUUCUUUGUCAAGAUUAAGCUUGUUUUUGGAGACCCUUUUUGAAAUUGUAGUGAAAAAAGAUCAUAUAAUUUGUCAAAGGGAGCUUUGGAGUAUUUGCUGUGUAUGGUGAGGAGGGUGGGAUUCCAGAUAAGAGAAGUUCUUGGUUGACACUCUUUGAUGUGGAAGUUCCCACGACUAAAGUUCCAUAAAGUAAAGGCAAGUUCUUGGCUGCAAAUCAGGCUUUAGAAGUUGCUAGAAAUGAUCUAUACUAUGAUUGGAGAACUAGGCAAGAUGUACUUACUCUAAUGCUCCUACACGAAAAGGUACUUCUUUGAAUUAAUAUGUGUAUUGAACUUGGAAACCUGGUAAAAUACAACAUUCACUGUCUUUAUCUAGGUCUAUUGACAAGUUUGUUGCGUUGCUGGUUUCUAUUGUACCUUCCUUAGAGUUGUUUAAAUUUUCUUGAUCUUUAUCGUAUUCUACGUUAUAUUCUAAUCAUUUACAAUACAACAUGUACAUUCUUCUAUGGGUAUUUUCAUAGUUAUGCUUCCCUUUUCCACUAGUUCAUCUCUUACAAAAUUUAUUAUCUAAAGGAACAGAAUUGAGGUUGACGACAUGCCCAAACAAUCUCAAGCGACCUCUCAUUUGAAACUCAAUGUGUGCUACUUGAAAUGCUGGAUCUAGAAUUGGAGCUUUCACUUAUAUGAUUCCUAGUAACUUCAUGUGUAUAGGUUGCCUAAGGAACUACAUGUCUUAAUGUUUGCAUUCGGUUCUCUUAGUCUUUGUAUAAAUUGCCUAAGGAACAUCAUGUUUUGGACAUCAUUGUGGAUCAGAAGUUCUUCUGUAUUUCAAUCAUUUGUCUCUAUUUUUGUCAGUCCCUCCUUUGUGUAUCUAAUUUCCCAUCACAAGAGAACUCGCAAUCUCUGGAAUCAGUGCGCCUUGGAAAAUAUGCAGAGUGGUUUAAUGUUGUCUUCUCGACUGAUAUAUCCGAAAAGUGUGAGAAUGUUCUUGGUCGACUAUCAGAAAAGCAUAUAUGCAAAACUAUGUUGCUGCUCAGCGGCUUAGGUGAUGCAUGUAUACUGAUUAUAUCCUAAAGGUACUUUCUUAAUUCUUUUCAACUUCUUCCUCUUGAAAUUUUGCAUUCCCAGCUGCUCCAACAUGUCGCUUCCUUUCACUGCUGCUGGUAGUUGAUUAUAUGUGUAGAAGUGUUGACUAAAGUCUAAUAUAUGACUCAAUUUCGAAAGGUAAUCAGCAGAAUUGGUGUGAGAAUUAUUUCAUGUCUACAAUUUUCCAACACAAAGAUAAGAUCAUUCCAGUUGUGUGACCACUGAAUAUAGGGGAAACAGUGAUGAAAAUUUGAACGAUAUUUUUUGCAGAUUAACUUCACUCUCCACAUAUUGAAUUGUUUGGCACCAUAUUUUACUGCACAUCCAUUUUUCCACAGGUUCCAACAUAUAACGAUGGGAAGGGCCUGAUUCAUGAGCUUGUGAGCCUCAUUUUUAUGUUGCAUAUUACCCCACUACAUAAAAAGAUUUCUUAGUAUUGAGCAUAUUAAAUACAUGAUUUAUUUCACUAACUUGUAUUUUUAUUUUGAAUGUGCAGGAAAAUGCCGGUAAUUGAAUUUGAAUAGUGGCUAGAAGUAAACUUGAUCCAUUCCAGUGAAAAAUGAAGAGUUUUUGUACAAUUAUCAUAUUUGUUUGUAUGCAUUUGGUUUUGUGGAAUUUAUUGAUAGUAUAGAUCUUUAUGAAAUUGCUUUCUAAGUAUUGGUUGUACAAGACAUGUUUGUCGAAGUUUAUUUUAAAUAUAUAGUUUUGCUUUAUUUAUUAGCUAA